GCCCUACACAGACUCCCCUUUCUAAUUUCUAAUUGGAGUCAGAGAAACAAAACUAACUUGUCUCAAUGAUUUGUGACAUCUGAGGCAUUCCUGUCCUCUGGGUUGUGACAAUGUAGAAUGGUAGUUCAAAUAAAAGCUCUAUAUUUUUUCAAGAGUUAAAGAUCCUAAAAUUAGGAGCACUCUCAUUAUUCCUAAUUUUCUUAAUUUCCAUGACACACCUCUCCCCUGGCUUUCUCUGUCCUACUCCCCUGGACACACUUUGGACCCGUAUAUCAUCUUACUCUACCCUAUCUACUCCUGUACUCCCAGGAUCUCUUUUGUAAAUUUACAUCAUCGCUUCCACGUGUCCAAACUUCCAGGAACGAUCUGAUGGAGAGUCCUACGAAACCUAGGAUGCUGCUGCUGACUGUGAUUUCAAAGGGUGAUUCUAAUAGACUACCGCAUGCACAUGUCUCAAACCGAAUGGCUGACUUUUCUCUCGAAGCUUGUUAAUCGGGCCUACUCCAUGUCAUGACAGAUACUGUCUUCCAUCAUGUUGCUCAGAACAAAACGUAUCUGAUCAAGGUGUCGAGAGCUGCAGGAGCUGCCGCCCCCCUUCCUCCCUACCUCAAGCCUUUCUGUUCUGCGGGGCCCACUUGGCCUGGCCGUGCUGGUCGUCCCUCUGUUCUUGGGCUGCAUCAGACUCUCUCCCUGCUCAGCACCUUCGCCCUGUUCUUCCCUUUGCCCUCCCCCGGAUCUGCACCUGGCCAGCUCUCACCUACUACCUACUACUGCAGGACCAGUACUACCUCCUCAAAAUGGACCUCCAUGAAGGUAAAACUCAUUUUCUUAUCAUUCUCUAUUCCCUUGCCCUGUGUGUGGUCUUCAGAGCACACAUUGCUCUCUGAAAUAAACUGGUACGUUGCUCUAGCAUCUCUCUCUUCAAACUGGUAGGAGAGAAGGAGUCUUGUCUUUUCCAUGCUGUAUGCUAGGGCUUAGAACUGUGUUUGGUUCCAGCUCAGUGGCAACAAGUAUUUGUUGACAAAGCAAAUAAAGGGUCGAAUAAAGGAAUAACCAACUCCUCUGCCCAUAAUUUUGGUUUUCCUAAGGCAGACAAACUUGAGAAAUAAUAUCCUCUUCUGUG
RNAcentral lists this long non-coding RNA (1123 nucleotides) under Mustela putorius furo (domestic ferret). Its description in RNAcentral is "lncRNA (ENSMPUG00000029476.1)". Lineage: Eukaryota; Metazoa; Chordata; Mammalia; Carnivora; Mustelidae. The record is from RNAcentral.